ACUAAAUGAUUAAUAGAUAAGUUCUUUAAAAUUAAAAAAUUUGGCGGUAUUUUAGUCUAUUCAGAGGAACCUGUUCUAUAAUUGAUAGUCCACGAUUAAAUAUACUUUAGUUUUUAAUUUACAUAUCGUUGUAGUUUGAGUAUUUUAUAAGAAGUGUGAAAUGUUCAAUAUGUUAAUUAUUAAAAUUUAAAUCAAAUCAAGGUGUAGUUUAUAUUAAAGUAGAAAUGGGUUACAUUAAUUAGAUAAUUUAUAGGAUAAUUAAUUUUUUAAAAGGAGUUUGAAUUUGGAUUUGAUAGUAAUUUUAUUUAUU
RNAcentral lists this ribosomal RNA (310 nucleotides) under Caryedon lunatum. RNAcentral's name for it is "partial 12S ribosomal RNA". Lineage: Eukaryota; Metazoa; Arthropoda; Insecta; Coleoptera; Chrysomelidae. The record is from RNAcentral.